GAUGAACGCUGGCGGCGUGCUUAACACAUGCAAGUCGAACGGACAGACCCUGCUUUUGUGGGGUGCUCGAUUGGCGAACGGGUGAGUAACACAUGAGUAACCUCCCCUUAUCUUUCGGGUAUCUUCACGAAACUGGGGCUAAUACCGCAUAGGAGCUCCUGCUCCAUGGUGGUGGUUGGAAAGUUUCGGCGGUUGGGGAUGGACUGGCUGCUUAUCCGCUUGUUUGUGUGGUAGGUGUUUACCAGGCCUUCGACGGAUAGCCGGCCUAAGAGGUGUACCGGGGACAUGGCGACUGAGAGACGCCGCAGACGCGUACGGGAGGCAGCAGUGGGGAGUAUGGCACAGUGGGCGGAAGCGAGAUGUAGAGACGCCGCGUGCGGAAUGACGGCUUUCGGGUGGUAAACCGCUGUGGCCUGUGACGAAGCGUGAGUGACGGUAAUGGGUAAAGAAGCACCGGCUAACUACGUG
Molecule: ribosomal RNA, 468 nt
Filed under: uncultured bacterium
Lineage: Bacteria
Description: partial 16S ribosomal RNA
Rfam family: Bacterial small subunit ribosomal RNA
Source: RNAcentral